CCUACGGGAGGCAGCAGUGAGGAAUAUUGGUCAAUGGGCUUACGCCUGAACCAGCCAAGUCGCGUGAGGGAAGACUGCCCUAUGGGUUGUAAACCUCUUUUGUCAGGGAGCAACGCCGGCUACGUGUAGCCGGACUGAGAGUACCUGAAGAAAAAGCAUCGGCUAACUCCGUGCCAGCAGCCGCGGUAAUACGGAGGAUGCGAGCGUUAUCCGGAUUUAUGGGGUUUAAAGAGUGCGUAGGCGGAAUGCCAAGUCAGCGGUAAAAUCGCGGGGCUCAACCUCGCUCCGCCGUUGAAACUGGCGUUCUUGAGUGGGCGAGAAGUAUGCGGAAUGCGUGGUGUAGCGGUGAAAUGCAUAGAUAUCACGAAGAACCCCGAUUGCGAAGGCAGCAUACCGGCGCCCAACUGACGCUGAAGCACGAAAGCGUGGGUAUCGAACAGGAUUAGAUACCCUUGUAGUC
RNAcentral lists this ribosomal RNA (460 nucleotides) under uncultured bacterium. RNAcentral's name for it is "partial 16S ribosomal RNA". It matches the Rfam family "Bacterial small subunit ribosomal RNA", at positions 338 to 795 of the family's 1533-position model. The record is from RNAcentral.